AGUGAACGCUGGCGGUAGGCCUAACACAUGCAAGUCGAACGGCAGCACAGUAAGAGCUUGCUCUUACGGGUGGCGAGUGGCGGACGGGUGAGGAAUACAUCGGAAUCUACUUUUUCGUGGGGGAUAACGUAGGGAAACUUACGCUAAUACCGCAUACGACCUACGGUUGAAAGCGGGGGAUCUUCGCACCUUGCGCGAUUGAAUGAGCCGAUGUCGGAGUAGCUAGUUGGAGGGCUAAAGGCCCACCAAGGCGACGAUCCGUAGCUGGUCUGAGAGGAUGAUCAGCGACACUGGAACUGAGACACGGUCCAGACUCCUACGGGAGGCAGCAGUGGGGAAUAUUGGACAAUGGGCGCAAGCCUGAUCCAGCCAUACCGCGUGGGUGAAGAAGGCCUUCGGGUUGUAAAGCCCUUUUGUUGGGAAAGAAAAGCAGCAGGUUAAUACCCCGCUGUUCUGACGGUACCCAAAGAAUAAGCACCGGCUAACUUCGUG
This 492-nucleotide ribosomal RNA is filed under the name uncultured bacterium. RNAcentral's name for it is "partial 16S ribosomal RNA". It matches the Rfam family "Bacterial small subunit ribosomal RNA", at positions 29 to 507 of the family's 1533-position model. The record is from RNAcentral.